GACGAACGCUGGCUGCGUGCUUAACACAUGCAAGUCGAACGGAAAGGCCCUGCAUUUGUGGGGUGCUCGAGUGGCGAACGGGUGCGCAACACGUGAGUAACCUGCCCUCGACUUUGGGACAACUUCAGGAAACUGGGGCUAAUACCGGAUAGGAGCUUCUGCUGCAUGGAGGGGGUUGGAAAGUUUCGGCGGUUGGGGAUGGACUCGCGGCUUAUCAGCUUGUUGGUGGAGUAGUGGCUUACCAAGGCUUUGACGGGUAGCCGGCCUGAGAGGGUGACCGGCCACAGUGGGACAGAGAUACGGCCCGGAGUACUGCGGGAGACAGCAGUGGGGGAGAGUGCACGAUGGACGGAAGCCUGAUGCAGCAAGACCGCGUGCGGGAUGGCGACCUGCGGGUUGAAGACCACUUUCUCCUGUGACGGUGCGUGAUUGACGGUAAUUGAUGAAGAAGCACCGGCUAACUACGUG
This 468-nucleotide ribosomal RNA is filed under the name uncultured bacterium. Its description in RNAcentral is "partial 16S ribosomal RNA". It matches the Rfam family "Bacterial small subunit ribosomal RNA", at positions 28 to 507 of the family's 1533-position model. The record is from RNAcentral.